Molecule: ribosomal RNA, 493 nt
Filed under: uncultured bacterium
Lineage: Bacteria
Description: bacterial SSU rRNA
Rfam family: Bacterial small subunit ribosomal RNA
Source: RNAcentral
GAUGAACGCUAGCGGCAGGCUUAAUACAUGCAAGUCGUGGGGCAGCAUGAGUAGCAAUACUUGAUGGCGACCGGCCAACGGGUGAGGAACACGUACACAACCUUCCUUCAAGCGGGGAAUAGCCCAGAGAAAUUUGGAUUAAUACCCCAUAAUAUAUUUGAUAAGGCAUCUUAUUAAUAUUAAAGCUUCGGCACUUGAUGAUGGGUGUGCGGCUGAUUAGAUAGUUGGCGGGUAACGGCCCACCAAGUCUACGAUCAGUAGCUGAUGUGAGAGCAUGAUCAGCCACACGGGCACUGAGACACGGGCCCGACUCCUACGGGAGGCAGCAGUAAGGAAUAUUGGACAAUGGACGAAAAGUCUGAUCCAGCCAUGCCGCGUGAAGGAUUAAGGUCCUCUGGAUUGUAAACUUCUUUAUAUGGGACGAAAAAAGGGCAUUCUUGUUCACUUGACGGUACACUAAUGAAUAAAGCACCGGCUAAACUCCGUGCCAGCA